Molecule: long non-coding RNA, 351 nt
Filed under: Monodelphis domestica (gray short-tailed opossum)
Lineage: Eukaryota; Metazoa; Chordata; Mammalia; Didelphimorphia; Didelphidae
Description: lncRNA (ENSMODG00000035542.2)
Source: RNAcentral
GGUCUUUGCAUAGCCAUAUCCUAAUAAAAGAUGGAUUGCCUGACUUGUAUAUUGAUGCCCCCAAGAUAUUGAAUCAGAAAAACUUCCAGUUCACUCAGUGGUGCCCCUCUGGAGUACUUAUGGAAAGACAUAAGGAAGAAUCACACAAGAGAACAGAUGCCUACUUCUCAACACAAGGACACUUAAGGAGGAGGAAAUCAGCAAGAGAGUUGCUCUCAAAGAGAAGAAAGAGGAUCACUGAAGUAAUUUUUUAAAUGAACAGAAGGAAGAUCAGAAGGUAACAUACAAACAAUAGUUUUUAUAACAAUGUUGUAUUUAUCAAACUUUUUUAAAAAGCAAGUUGUAAGUAAU